Molecule: ribosomal RNA, 424 nt
Filed under: Fusobacteriota bacterium
Lineage: Bacteria; Fusobacteriati; Fusobacteriota
Description: Fusobacteria bacterium partial 16S ribosomal RNA
Rfam family: Bacterial small subunit ribosomal RNA
Source: RNAcentral
UGAGGAAUAUUGGUCAAUGGGCGAGAGCCUGAACCAGCCAAGUAGCGUGCAGGAUGACGGCCCUAUGGGUUGUAAACUGCUUUUAUGUGGGGAUAAAGUGCGUGACGUGUCAUGCAUUGCAGGUACCACAUGAAUAAGGACCGGCUAAUUCCGUGCCAGCAGCCGCGGUAAUACGGAAGGUCCGGGCGUUAUCCGGAUUUAUUGGGUUUAAAGGGAGCGUAGGCUGUCUAUUAAGCGUGUUGUGAAAUUUACCGGCUCAACCGGUGGCUUGCAGCGCGAACUGGUCGACUUGAGUAUGCAGGAAGUAGGCGGAGUUCAUGGUGUAGCGGUGAAAUGCUUAGAUAUCAUGACGAACUCCGAUUGCGCAGGCAGCUUACUGUAGCAUAACUGACGCUGAUGCUCGAAAGUGCGGGUAUCAAACAGG